CUCUUUCUCCCUUUAGGGAUUUCAAUCAAAAUUUCACCUCCUCCUUUCCUUUAUUUAAACUUGGCCCGCUCGUGUUGAUUGUUGCACUCAGUGGAAGACCCCUCCUUGUUAAUGUCUUGUUUUGCUUUUUCUUGGCAUUCCUUUGACACUUCAAAAUCAAAUGAAAUCUAGAUUAAAAAAACAUAAAACAAUCAAAUAGUAUUACUUUUCUGUCAAAUAUUGGCUACCUCAGUCAACAUUUAAGUGUAUUAGUAACUGAUAUCAAAAUUUUGAAUUCCCAACCCUCGACAGUGUGUGUGUAUAUAUAUAUAUUAUCUUCGCCUUUUUCUUUGAACAACACUACUCUCUCAUCGAGUAUUUAACCCAUCUCUUCGCUUGAGUAACUCAUUCAAUUAUUUCUCUCUUCAUUCUCUACCUGGCAUUAUAUUUCAACUAUCGGUGUUGCCUUCUUCUCUAAAACCUGAAGUCCAUACCUACAUCAGAUUCCAAUUUCUCCAUUCCAACACAAAUCUCUCCUCCAUAACCAAUGGAAUCUGCUCCAAAGCUCAAGCAAAACCAUGGCUGCACUUUCCUCCAUUCCACUCAAUUGUUGAUAAGCGUUCUCUCGUCUUUCUUCCAACUUCAAAACUUCUUCAUUCUCAUUCUCCUCGUUUCCAUGGAAACUUACAUUUUCUUAAAUGGAUGGAAUCCCAUUUCCUAUUUCUUCCUCCUAUUGUCUUCUUAUACUUUCUGCAAAUACAUCAUUAAGCUUCCCAUUCUGAAUGCUCCUCGUCCUGUCUAUUUAGUUGACUUCUCAUGCCUCAAACCACCAAGCUUCUGCAGGGUUCCCUUCUCUCUUUUCCUUGAAAAUGCAACGUUGAUGAAUACUUUCGACAACAACAGCCUCAGUUUCAUGGCCAAAACUCUCAAAUCUUCAGGACAGAGUGAAGAAACAUGCCUCCCUCCAGCCCUGCAUUUCAUACCACCCAAAACCCAUCAACAAGAAUCCAUUCAUGAAGUUCAUAUGGUACUAUUUCCUGUCAUGGAUGAUCUUUUAACCAAAACCCAUCUCUCUCCUUGCGACAUUGAUAUUCUUAUUGUUAAUUGCAGUGGCUUUUGCCCUUCUCCUUCCCUGUCAUCCAUAGUCAUCAACAAAUAUUCCAUGAGAAGUGAUAUUAAAAGCUAUAACCUCUCUGGAAUGGGGUGCAGUGCAAGUGCUGUUGCCAUUCAUUUAGCUGAAAAUCUUCUUCAAGUACACGAAAACUCAAAUGUUGUUGUUCUUAGUACAGAAAUUCUAUCAAACGGUUGGUAUGCAGGAAAGGAACACUCCAGACUAAUCCUCAAUUGCUACUUCCGUAUGGGCGGUGCGGCUAUUUUACUCACCAACAGAAAAGAGGCGAAACUUUUUUCAAAAUAUAAACUAUUUAAAACCCUUAGAACACAGACAUCCUACGAUGAUAGAAGUUACCUUUCAGCCAUACGCGAAGAGGACAAGGAAGGAAAACUCGGAGUCUCUGUAACAAGAGAUACGCUUCAGGUUUUCCCCGAAACACUCCGUAUCAACAUAACCCUUCUGGGUUCUUCAAUAUUGCCGCUGUCUGAGAAACUCCGGU
Molecule: long non-coding RNA, 1592 nt
Filed under: Cucumis sativus (cucumber)
Lineage: Eukaryota; Viridiplantae; Streptophyta; Magnoliopsida; Cucurbitales; Cucurbitaceae
Description: long non-coding RNA (CSAT_LNC000971)
Source: RNAcentral